ACGUAGGGUGCGAGCGUUAAUCGGAAUUACUGGGCGUAAAGCGUGCGCAGGCGGUUUUUUAAGACAGGGGUGAAAUCCCCGCGCUCAACCUGGGAACUGCCUUGGAGACUGCAAGGCUGGAGUGCGGAAGAGGGAAGUGGAAUUCCCCGUGUAGCGGUGAAAUGCGUAGAGAUGGGGAGGAACACCAGUGGCGAAGGCGACGUACUGGGCCGUAACUGACGCUGAUGCGCGAAAGCGUGGGGAGCGAACAG
RNAcentral lists this ribosomal RNA (251 nucleotides) under uncultured prokaryote. RNAcentral's name for it is "partial 16S rRNA". It matches the Rfam family "Bacterial small subunit ribosomal RNA", at positions 525 to 775 of the family's 1533-position model. The record is from RNAcentral.